UAACAAGUUCCUCUUCCUAACCGAGACCUAUGGGGAGGUUAAACACAGUCUCUCAUAUCCCCGCUAAGGGUGCGGGGAGCAUAGUAUCUCCA
The submitters of this non-coding RNA (92 nucleotides) gave its source as unclassified sequences. The record is from Rfam.